GCUUGCACAGAUGACGACCGGCGCACGGGUGCGUAACGCGUAUAGAACCUACCUUUUACAGAGGAAUAGCCUUUAGAAAUGAAGAUUAAUGCCUCAUGGUAUUGUAGACUGGCAUCAGUUUAUAAUUAAAGAUUUAUCGGUAAAAGAUGGCUAUGCGUCCUAUUAGUUAGUUGGUAAGGUAACGGCUUACCAAGACAGCGAUAGGUAGGGGUCCUGAGAGGGAGAUCCCCCACACUGGUACUGAGACACGGACCAGACUCCUACGGGAGGCAGCAGUGAGGAAUAUUGGACAAUGGAGGAGACUCUGAUCCAGCCAUGCCGCGUGUAGGAAGAAUGCCCUAUGGGUUGUAAACUACUUUUAUACAGGAAGAAACACUGGUAUGUAUACCAGCUUGACGGUACUGUAAGAAUAAGGACCGGCUAACUCCGUGCCAGCAGCCGCGGUAAUACGGAGGGUCCGAGCGUUAUCCGGAAUCAUUGGGUUUAAAGGGUCCGCAGGCGGUCGAUUAAGUCAGAGGUGAAAUCCCAUAGCUCAACUAUGGAACAGCCUUUGAUACUGGUUGACUUGAGUCAUAUGGAAGUAGAUAGAAUGUGUAGUGUAGCGGUGAAAUGCAUAGAUAUUACACAGAAUACCGAUUGCGAAGGCAGUCUACUACGUAUGUACUGACGCUGAGGGACGAAAGCGUGGGGAGCGAACAGGAUUAGAUACCCUGGUAGUCCACGCCGUAAACGAUGGAUACUAGUUGUUGGGAUUUAUCUCAGUGACUAAGCGAAAGUGAUAAGU
RNAcentral lists this ribosomal RNA (784 nucleotides) under uncultured Polaribacter sp. RNAcentral's name for it is "bacterial SSU rRNA". It matches the Rfam family "Bacterial small subunit ribosomal RNA", at positions 78 to 865 of the family's 1533-position model. Lineage: Bacteria; Pseudomonadati; Bacteroidota; Flavobacteriia; Flavobacteriales; Flavobacteriaceae. The record is from RNAcentral.